CCUACGGGAGGCAGCAGUGAGGAAUUUUGCGCAAUGGGCGAAAGCCUGACCCAGCAACGCCGCGUGCGCGAAGAAGGCCUUCGGGUUGUAAAGCGCUUUUCUGAGGGAUGAGGAAGGACAGUACCUGAGGAAUAAGUCUCGGCUAACUACGUGCCAGCAGCCGCGGUAAGACGUAGGAGACGAGCGUUAUCCGGAUUUACUGGGCGUAAAGCGCGUGCAGGCGGCUCGUUAAGUUGGAUGUGAAAGCCCCCGGAUAAACUGGGGGAGGUCGUUCAAGACUGGCGGGCUAGAGUGCAGCAGAGGAGAGUGAAAUUCCGAGUGUAGCGGUAAAAUGCACAGAUAUUCGGAAGAACACCAGAGGCGAAGGCGGCUCUCGGGGCUGCAACUGACGCUCAGACGCGAAAGCUAGGGGAGCGAACGGGAUUAGAUCCCCCUGUAGU
RNAcentral lists this ribosomal RNA (440 nucleotides) under uncultured Anaerolineaceae bacterium. RNAcentral's name for it is "partial 16S ribosomal RNA". It matches the Rfam family "Bacterial small subunit ribosomal RNA", at positions 338 to 794 of the family's 1533-position model. The record is from RNAcentral. Lineage: Bacteria; Bacillati; Chloroflexota; Anaerolineae; Anaerolineales; Anaerolineaceae.